Molecule: non-coding RNA, 375 nt
Organism: Carassius carassius (crucian carp)
Lineage: Eukaryota; Metazoa; Chordata; Actinopteri; Cypriniformes; Cyprinidae
Source: the annotation of a RefSeq genome assembly
UUCAUCAACAUGACCUUCAUCAUCAUCUUCAUCUGGACUCUCUGCUUUAUACUACAAGGGUGUAAAGCUCAGAUCACAGUCACUCAAACUCCAGUGAAACCUGUCACACCAGGAGAAAAUGUCGUGAUGAGCUGUAAGUUUAGUUCUGCUCCAGCCUGCAGCACACCCUGUGUGUCCUGGUACUUACAGAAACCUGGAGAAGCUCCUAAACUCCUGAUUUAUUGGACCAAAAGCCUCCAGUCAGGAACUCCAUCUAGAUUCAGUGGCAGUGGAUCUGGGAUUGAUUUCACUCUGACCAUCAGUGGAGUCCAGACUGAAGAUGCUGGACAUUAUUACUGUCAGGGUAGACACAGUGGUCCAGUGUUCACACAGUGA